CCUACGGGCGGCAGCAGUGGGGAAUAUUGGGCAAUGGGCGCAAGCCUGACCCAGCAACGCCGCGUGAAGGAAGAAGGCUUUCGGGUUGUAAACCUCUAGUAUGAGGGACGAAAGAAAUGACGGUACCUCACGAAUAAGCCACGGCUAACUACGUGCCAGCAGCCGCGGUAAUACGUAGGGGGCAAGCGUUAUCCGGAUUUACUGGGUGUAAAGGGCGGGUAGGCGGGACUGCAAGUCAGAUGUGAAAAUUCUGGGCUCAACCCAUAACCUGCAUUUGAAACUGUAGUUCUUGAGUGAUGGAGAGGCAGGCGGCAUUCCGUGUGUAGCGGUGAAAUGCGUAGAUAUUCGGAGGAACCCCAGUGGCGAAGGCGGCCUGCUGGACAUUAACUGACGCUGAGGCUCGAAAGCGUGGGGAGCAAACAGGAUUAGAUACCCUUGUAGUC
This 443-nucleotide ribosomal RNA is filed under the name uncultured bacterium. RNAcentral describes it as "partial 16S ribosomal RNA". It matches the Rfam family "Bacterial small subunit ribosomal RNA", at positions 338 to 795 of the family's 1533-position model. The record is from RNAcentral.